UACGAAGGGGGGCUAGCGUUGUUCGGAUUUACUGGGCGUAAAGCGCACGUAGGCGGAUCGUUAAGUGAGGGGUGAAAUCCCAGGGCUCAACCCUGGAACUGCCUUUCAUACUGGCGAUCUUGAGUCCGGAAGAGGUGAGUGGAACUCCUAGUGUAGAGGUGGAAUUCGUAGAUAUUAGGAAGAACACCAGUGGCGAAGGCGGCUCACUGGUCCGGUACUGACGCUGAGGUGCGAAAGCGUGGGGAGCAAACAGG
Molecule: ribosomal RNA, 254 nt
Filed under: uncultured bacterium
Lineage: Bacteria
Description: partial 16S ribosomal RNA
Rfam family: Bacterial small subunit ribosomal RNA
Source: RNAcentral